AGCAGUCGCCGCGGUAAUACGUAUGUCACGAGCGUUAUCCGGAUUUAUUGGGCGUAAAGCGAGCGCAGGCGGUUAGAUAAGUCUGAAGUUAAAGGCUGUGGCUUAGCCAUAGUACGCUUUGGAAACUGUUUAACUUGAGUGCAAGAGGGGAGAGUGGAAUUCCAUGUGUAGCGGUGAAAUGCGUAGAUAUAUGGAGGAACACCGGUGGCGAAAGCGGCUCUCUGGCUUGUAACUGACGCUGAGGCUCGAAAGCGUGGGGCGCAAACAGGAUUAGAUACCCCCGUAGUCCCUGUCUCUUAUACA
Molecule: ribosomal RNA, 303 nt
Filed under: uncultured bacterium
Lineage: Bacteria
Description: partial 16S ribosomal RNA
Rfam family: Bacterial small subunit ribosomal RNA
Source: RNAcentral